GAUUAUGGCUCAGGACGAACGCUGGCGGCGUGCUUAACACAUGCAAGUCGAGCGAUGAAGCUUCUCGGAAGUGGAUUAGCGGCGGACGGGUGAGUAACACGUGGGUAACCUGCCUCAUAGAGGGGAAUAGCCUUCCGAAAGGAAGAUUAAUACCGCAUAAGAUUGUAAUAUCGCAUGAUAUAGCAAAUUAAAGGAGUAAUCCGCUAUGAGAUGGACCCGCGUCGCAUUAGCUAGUUGGUGAGGUAACGGCUCACCAAGGCGACGAUGCGUAGCCGACCUGAGAGGGUGAUCGGCCACAUUGGGACUGAGACACGGCCCAGACUCCUACGGGAGGCAGCAGUGGGGAAUAUUGCACAAUGGGGGAAACCCUGAUGCAAGCAACGCCGCGUGAGUGAUGACGGUCUUCGGAUUGUAAAGCUCUGUCUUCAGGGACGAUAAUGACGGUACCUGAGGAGGAAGCCACGGCUAACUACGUGCCAGCCGCGGC
RNAcentral lists this ribosomal RNA (487 nucleotides) under uncultured bacterium. Its description in RNAcentral is "bacterial SSU rRNA". It matches the Rfam family "Bacterial small subunit ribosomal RNA", at positions 15 to 518 of the family's 1533-position model. The record is from RNAcentral.